GGACAAUGGGCGAAAGCCUGAUCCAGCAAUACCGCGUGUGUGAAGAAGGCCUUAGGGUUGUAAAGCACUUUCAAUUGGGAGGAAAACCUGUCGGCUAAUACCCGGUAGCUUGACAUUACCUUUAGAAGAAGCACCGGCUAACUCCGUGCCAGCAGCCGCGGUAAUACGGAGGGUGCGAGCGUUAAUCGGAAUUACUGGGCGUAAAGCGUGCGUAGGCGGUUCGUUAAGUCAGAUGUGAAAGCCCUGGGCUCAACCUGGGAACUGCAUUUGAAACUGGGUAACUAGAGUUUAGUAGAGGGGAGUGGAAUUUCAGGUGUAGCGGUGAAAUGCGUAGAUAUCUGAAGGAACACCAGUGGCGAAGGCGACUCCCUGGACUAGAACUGACGCUGAGGUACGAAAGCGUGGGUAGCAAACAGGAUUAGAUACCCUGGUAGUCCACGCCGUAAACGAUGUCGACUAGCCGUUGGUCCUAUUUACAGGAUUAGUGGCGCAGCUAACGCAUUAAGUCGACCGCCUGGGGAGUACGGCCCCAAGGUUAAA
This 540-nucleotide ribosomal RNA is filed under the name uncultured bacterium. Its description in RNAcentral is "bacterial SSU rRNA". It matches the Rfam family "Bacterial small subunit ribosomal RNA", at positions 366 to 898 of the family's 1533-position model. The record is from RNAcentral.